Neopelma chrysocephalum (saffron-crested tyrant-manakin) is the source of this 311-nucleotide long non-coding RNA. RefSeq lists it as uncharacterized. The record is from RefSeq and is a predicted model, not a curated record. Lineage: Eukaryota; Metazoa; Chordata; Aves; Passeriformes; Pipridae. The transcript has 2 exons.
ACAGUGACUUUCCCUGAUUCCCUGCUCUGGAUUGUCCCUUUCACAAAGGAUUCCUUUGCGUGUACCACAAAGACGGAUGACUUGGCAUCGAAAGGCUUGUUCUGGGCUGCAAUUCUCUCCUUUUCUGACUUCCGGAGGUCUGGACUCCUCUAGAGAUGGAUGCAAAGCAGAGCAGAGUCAGAAGAGAAGAGGCAGAACAAGGGUAGACUCUGGCUACAGGCAGAGCAACAAGGAGUGGGCAAGACUCUGCGGUGCUGACAUUCCCAUGGAAGGGGAAGGAUUUUGUUGGGCUGAAAAUAAAUCCUUCUUCA